RNAcentral lists this ribosomal RNA (254 nucleotides) under uncultured bacterium. RNAcentral describes it as "partial 16S ribosomal RNA". It matches the Rfam family "Bacterial small subunit ribosomal RNA", at positions 103 to 354 of the family's 1533-position model. The record is from RNAcentral.
CGGGUGAGUAACACGUAUGGCAACCUGCCUGCCACAGCCGGAUAAUCGGGAGAAAUUCCGUCUAAUACGGCAUAAUGCAUCGACGGGACAUCCUGUUGGUGCCAAAGGUUGAUUCCGGUGGCGGAUGGGCAUGCGUCGCAUUAGUUAGUUGGCGGUGUAACGGACCACCAAGACGACGAUGCGUAGGGGUUCUGAGAGGAAGGUCCCCCACACUGGUACUGAGACACGGACCAGACUCCUACGGGAGGCAGCAG